GACGAACGCUGGCGGCGUGCUUAACACAUGCCAGUCGAACGGAAAGGCCCUGCUUUUGUGGGGUGCUCGAGUGGCGAACGGGUGAGUAACACGUGAGUAACCUGCCCUUGACUUUGGGAUAACUUCAGGAAACUGGGGCUCAUACAGGAUAGGUGCUCCUGCUGCAUGGUGGGGGUUGGAAAGUUUCGGCGGUUGGGGAUGGACUGGCGGCUUAUCAGCUUGUUGUUGGGGUAGUGGCUUACCAAGGCUUUGACGGGUAGCCGGCCUGAGAGGGUGACCGGCCAGGUUGGGACUGAGAUACGGCCCAGACUCCUACGGGAGGCAGCAGUGGGGAAGAGUGCACAAUGGGCGGAAGCCUGAUGCAGCAACGCCGCGUGCGGGAUGACGGCCUGCGGGUUGGAAACCGCUUUCGCCUGUGACGAAGAGUGAGUGACGGUAAUGGGUAAAGAAGCACCGGCUAACUACGUG
This 468-nucleotide ribosomal RNA is filed under the name uncultured bacterium. Its description in RNAcentral is "partial 16S ribosomal RNA". It matches the Rfam family "Bacterial small subunit ribosomal RNA", at positions 28 to 507 of the family's 1533-position model. The record is from RNAcentral.